UACAGAGGGGGCAAGCGUUAUUCGGAAUUAUUGGGCGUAAAGGGCGCGUAGGCGGCCUGGCAAGUGGAAGGUGAAAUCCCUCGGCUUAACCGAGGAACUGCCCUCCAAACUGCUUGGCUUGAGUCCGGGAGAGGUGAGUGGAAUUCCCAGCGUAGCGGUGAAAUGCGUAGAUAUUCGGAAGAACACCAGUGGCGAAGGCGACUUACUGGACACAUAUUGACGCUGAGGUGCGAAAGCGUGGGGAGCAAACAGG
RNAcentral lists this ribosomal RNA (253 nucleotides) under uncultured bacterium. RNAcentral's name for it is "partial 16S ribosomal RNA". It matches the Rfam family "Bacterial small subunit ribosomal RNA", at positions 524 to 776 of the family's 1533-position model. The record is from RNAcentral.